Molecule: long non-coding RNA, 929 nt
Organism: Myxocyprinus asiaticus (Chinese sucker)
Lineage: Eukaryota; Metazoa; Chordata; Actinopteri; Cypriniformes; Catostomidae
Exons: 2
Source: RefSeq, a predicted model, not a curated record
GCAGACAUUUACUUAUUAAAAGUGCUGUUAGGUAGGCAAUAGGGUUUGAUACAUAGCUGAAGUGUGUAUCUGAAUUGUUUCUUUCUCACUUUAAGCAGGUAACGGUCCACGGCUUCACGGUCCAGAUGGGCGUUAAGUCCAUUUCUUCCAGCGUCUUUGUCCCGCGCCAGCACCACUCCCACUCUCUGGCCAAUGGGUGUGUCCUCUGGAAUAUUCACCGACAAAUCAGAAGUGAUGUCAAACUCUGGACUGUUAUCAUUCUCGUCAAGUAUGGUGAUUGACACCUGUCAAAAGAACAGAGCAGUGGGACCUGAGAUGUUACCUUUUCUUGCAAGAAUAUUGCAAUUUGUUGCAUGAAAAAUUAUCUGGUGACUAAGAAUGACUUAUUUACCUUCUGCAUGUGUGCAUCAGGCAGGAAAUUAGAAAAGAGAGAAUACAGCAGGUUGAAUUAAAUGUUAAUAUAGACCAUCAGAAUUGUCAUAUAUACCAGCAUUCAUGUGUUAGAAGUUGGAUACAAUCAUGUAAUAAUAUUACAUCAUUUUGGCAUCUUUACAGACAACAUGAAAUCAAAACUGACCCUAUUUACUUUCUUAAAGGAAUAUUCUGGAUUAAACACAUGCGGGUUAAACACAUGAAAUGCUCAGUUGACAGCAUUUGUGGUAUAAUAUUUAUUACCACAAAAAUUAAUUUCGACUCAUUCCUCCUUUUCUUUAAAAAAGCAUAAUGCUAGGUUACAAUGAGGCACUUACAAUGGAAGUAAAUGGGGGUCAAUCUGUAAAUGUUAAAAUACUCACUAUUUCAAAAGUAUAACCAGAAGCCAUAAACAAUAUGUGUAACAUGAUUUUAGUGUGUUAAAAUCAAUUACUAACCUUAAUCUUCACAUUUCUGCCUAUAAACCAUCCAAAAAAUAAAUAAAAUAAAUGCCCCUA